UUGACAGGCAGGGAGCCUUUAACUAGUAAUUCGGUUCAUAUUCGUCUGUUAUAAAGGGGGAUAAAUUAGAAACCUUUGCAACUGUAGGAUUGAGCAAUGGUUGAUCAAGUAGGCAACAAUAAGCCCAAAGGGGGGAAAAAAGGCUGUCAGGUGGUGCAAUAAAAUUACCAGAUUGAUUUCAGCAUUAUGUUAAACAUUUCAAACCACAUCUCUGGCUUAACAGGAUACAUGCAUGGCUCAUCACUAUCAGAUUCAAUGGAACAUUUGGAUUACUGAGAUUUUAACUUGCCCAUAACCCAUAUUUUGUACCUCAAUGUGGCACUCCGUUACAUAUGUGCAGCACGUCCGUUGAGAGAAUCAGCCUCAACUAAAUUGGUCCUCUACUGUUAAUGUAGAGUUUACUACAAACUAGAAUUUAUUGGAUACUAUACAUGUAGGUCAAGGUUUAAUUUGUCAACUUCGUAAUCAUAUUGAAAUAUAAAAUGUGUAAACCUUUAUGAAGACAGCAAGGACAGUUAUUUGAACGCAAUCCAACAUUGGCCCAAAAAUCCUUUUAACUAGCAGAGCCUCCACUUGUCCCUCGUUGUCUGACCAACGUGUCCAUCAGCGCAUGUGAGCGGCACCAGUGCUGUAAUGUAUGAAGUUCUUCGGUGCCGUACAGUGUUCUUGUUGAGUAAGUGAAAGUUAAACGUCUGGUCUCUGCAUUGUCAAAGGCGAGUGGCCUUAACAGUCUAAUGCAGAACUCACCAAAACAUUGAGCCAACAGCACAUCAACUAACAUCAUUGCACUAAACCCAACGUGAGAAAGACCAGGGAAGCCAUUACAAGAAUGUUUUUUAUAUUUAGAAGCGGAAUAACAGCAACUGUACACAGAAAUGCUACAUUUGUUUUCCUUCAGCAGAUGAACUCUCCAACUCUGAUGAAAUCUGCAAACAAAUAAAAUAAUCAAUUUUUUACUGUAAAAAAUAAGCCAUCAGCCUGUUGGAAUACUGCAUGCUCACCUGCGUCAAAGUUCUGCUUAUGGACACUUUUAGUUCUCCGGUUCAACACAGCAGAAGACCAUGAAACGGCUCAUUGAACCCAGCUGGAAGCUGUGCACUGAAAAAGUGAGGAAUAUAAAAUAAGUAACGUUAGUGAUUAAGAAAUUCAAUAAACGCUACAAGUUUAUGUUCUAUGCUUAAUUUUCAGUUAUGAAAAAACAUUCAGGAUAACAUACCAAUGGCGUAAGUGGACUCAACGGCAGCUCAAGGCCUCAGAUUUGACUGGAAUCUGUUCCUGUGCAGCAAAAAAACAGGAUUAAAGAGUGAAGAGACAACUGAGCAGCAAGCUGAGAACAUCAUCCGUCUGGAAGCACAAGACAGUAAAUGUCGGAGGUUUACCUAUAACCAGGCCAUAAAGAGUCACGGCCGGGCCUCAAACAGCCUCACGUCUCUCUAGCAGACACUACAGGAAAGGACGGAGCCACGGCAGGCUGAGCCUCGCUGGAAAGGUCUGCACGGACUAACUACGUCACACAGGACGGACCUCACUGGAUGAGGUCCACACAGACCUCACUGGAUGAGGUCCACACAGACUACAUCGCGCGAGGGCUCAUAACCGCAGCGAGUGAGCGCACGUGCUCCGCUCAUGACAGGCAUAAAUAACUUACUGAACGAGUCAAAUAUGACAUUAAAUAAGCUCUAUAGUACAUGUAUAUACAGGUCAGUAAAUUAAUAUAUAAACUAAAUACCAGCUGUGUAAAAACGACAGAGCGCUGUAGAGCGGACAGACGUCACUUUGGUCUUUUAACUGACUGUUUCCUCAACAACAGUUUAAUUUCAUUACAACUUUAAACUUCAAAUAGUUUCACGAUGUCAGAAUCCGAUGGCAUUUAACAUUACGGUUGGAUGGAGACGGAUCUUUUUUUUCGCUUACGUUACCUUUCACGUGGUGCUCCGACUGCUCAACAGACCUAGCUGCCCGGAUGUGACGUCAUUUAUACUAUGCGUGACGUCUCCUUCUUCUUCUUCUUCUUCUUCUUCUUCUUCUUUGGCAUUUAAUGGCAGUUGGAAAACCGCUCGUGGUGCAUUAGCGCCACCCACUAAUCUGGAGUUUGGAUUUACGUUGGAUGUAAAAUAAAAUAAGCACCCAAACAAAAGCACUAAUUCUAGUUUUCAGUCUUCCAAAAUACUCGCAAGGAAGUUUUCCACAUGUUCAACUUUUAUUUAGUACAUUACUGGUAUUUUAUUCCGCAUAGUCUAGUCUGCUUAAAACGUCUCUUGCUGAAUAAUUGUGGCAUAUCUUUUUGACGUGUCCCUUAAUCACCACAUUAGCUUCGGACUUACAUUCAUGUUAUUUCUCCUCUUCAAAGUCCAACUCCAAUAUGGGCAGGGGCCACAAAAAGUGUGAGGAAAUAACUCAAGGCCUUCAUGUCACCUGCAAACACACAGAAAUCACCAAGUAUCUUCCUGCUGCUGCGGCUCUGCGUGUUUCAGGGUCUUUAGAUCCAUCCGUAUCCAUCUGUAAAGAACUGUGGUAAUUCCUUUGGAUGUAGGACUUAAAGAUCCUAGUUUCCCCCUCGCUCCUUUCUUAUCAUUUCAAAGAGGCCACUUCAAUUUCUGGCUGUGGCAACCAAACCAAAAGGGAAAUCUGGCAGAAUCCCAGCAGGAGAAUAAUUCCUCACCAGCCCUUUCCUUAUUUAUAUGUAGGUUUCCUCCUUCUUGGAUGCAGCCUGUGGUUUCUGAGGAUUUACGGCAGUUCACAGGGUCCCCAGCAGGGAGCGAUACGAUACCAAAGAUAUCGAUCUGAGUUUGAAGUCUCUGAUGCUGUGUCUGUACAGCCGUCUGUAAACUGACCUCUGACUGUACUACAUUGAUGCAACGCCUACUAAACUCACUCCUUCACGAGGACAUUCCACAAUGACAACCAAUGGAAAGAUAUUCACCUUCAACAUAACGUAGAAAAUAACGGACAGAAUGGAAAUUUCCAUGAACUUACGAUUUGAUUUUCUCAUGUGGAGUAAUAACAUUGAUGUCUGGAAUCAUACAGCUCAUUUAUAAGACAAACUACCACAUUUUUUUGAGGAAAUUGCAAGUUGUUGUGCAUUUCUAGUAUUGUUGACAGGUUUAAUUGAGCAACAGUUUCCCAGAUUGUUUUCACGGGAUCUCAGGGUGAAACCAUCUGCGUGGUGUGUGAAGCGCUCUGGAGCCACUGCAGCUUGUAGGAGGCCUCUGAUGAGCAAAGCGGACAGCCGAUGCUGGUGGGAGUCGGGAGCCCCCACGAGGCGGUUUGCUCGUGGUGGAUGACUCACCCUGCGUUCCCGCUCAACAAUAGGAGCCAUAGAGGAGCAGGCUCCUGCUUGGGCCGCCCGCCGCGGGAUGAAUCUCAGCUUUGUUUGGCCGCAGUGAUGCCCAGCUGACCAGUGUUUCACACUGAAUGUGUGUUUGGACCCAAACACGAGCCGCCUCAGCUGCUCCUCUUGUUCCUCUGUGUGACUCGGGCCUUUACAGGAACGUCUGUGUCCCUUAUGACAACAAGAAAGUGGCGCCAUCGCAGAUCUGGGCUCUGUUGGAGCUUUGAAUGAGGAAAGGCCGGGGUAUCGUUUCAAAAGGCCCAUUGGGACAUUCCCACCGCGUCCUCAUCCCAUCAUGUCUGUAUAAUAACAACAACAAUAGAAAAACAUGCACAAUGAGAUCAACCGGACCUCUAAAUUUCUCAAGGAAUGAGAGAGCCGAGAGAGAGAGAGAGAGAGAGAAAGAGAGAGAGAGAGAGAGUCUUAAUGCAGCUUUUAUUCCAGCUACAAGCAACAAGAGGGUUGCUUUCAGCAUUUUAAGACUUCAGCGAGUUAUGUAAGCGGCAUUAGAGUCGGCAUGUGAAUAAUGCCUUUGUGUGUGUGCGUGUGUGUGUGUUUGCCAAAGUGUGUGUGUCUUGAACAAGCUGACCGACAUGAGUGAUGUGCUAUGAGAUGCCACCUUAUCUGAGACUAAAUGGAUAGCAAAAAAUCCUCACAUUUGAAGAGCGGGGUUAUGUAAACACUUGAUAAAUGAAUCACUAAAUCCUUUGAAAGAAUAAAAAAACGCUCUGGGCUUCUGAUCUAGUAAGGCUUCUGACUCUGACACAAAUUAUAAUCCAUUUGCACCAUUACAUUGAUUCAUGAAGCUUCUUUUAAUCAGCGUCAGGAUACACCACCUAAAGACUUCAUUUUCUGGAUUGAGUGCACAUCAUGUGGUCAAAUCUAGCUCAGGCUCCUCAAACUCUGGGAUCUUCUGGACAUUUCCCGGCUGCACAUUGUUUGUUAGUCACCGUGGAUCCUGCAGAGCUUCAGUGCAUUCUAACAUAAUGUUUGUCCCGUUACGUAGCAUGUAAAACAUGUCCGACCACGUCCGGAGCCACUCUGCAGGAUGCGAGUCGGCUCCUCUGACCCACAAUCCUUUGGGGCGGCCGAUUGAUGAGCAUGACGUCCAAAAGUCAAGCCAGUAGAAUGUCCCCUUUGAAUGCAUACUACACGCACCGGUACACACUUUGUCAGGGCGGCGGCAGUAUGCACCAAAAGUAAAAGAAAAAAAAGUAUCCAUUUAAAACAUAGGGAGGGUUUAGGAGGUUAAUCUGUGUACAUUCAGCAAAGCACUUCACUGCAUUUCUGAGUAUUUCUUUUAUACUUCUACGCCACCAGAUCUAAAAGGCUACAUUUUACUUUCUAGGGGAGCAUAAAUAAAUGUGAUAUGUACGUACUCUUUGCUAAUUACAUGAAAUAAGCAUAUGGAGUAUGAGAAGAAGCACUAAUUCACCCUUUAGCGUACAAAACGUCUUAAAGUGGCUCCAGUAUUUGUUUACUAGUGAGCAGAGUAGUUUAAUAAUCCAUCUAUUCUAUACAACAGCACAAGAAUGAAGACUUUUUACUUUUGAUAAUAAGAUAAAACUUUAUUUAUCUGGAGGGACGCAGUGUCAGUAAAACAUGCAGAGACACAACCGUAGUACAUUCUGCUGAUUACACCUCUUGAACCUCAAUGGAGGACGUAGGAAGUAGUUUUCCAUUGCAUGACUUUCCCCCCGUGUGACUCGGCCUCAGGAGAUUAUCUGGGGAGUCCAGCGUCUCCAAUGGCCUUAUCACAUGACACGGGGGCGGGGCUUUGUCUUCCCUUUGAAAUCCACUUCACGAGCGAGCAACAAGUCACCACUGGGCUUUUAUUUUAUUUUUAAAUCCAGUGUUAUCUCAGAGUCUCGGCGUUCACUUUCUCAGCAGCACACAUGGAUCAGAGGCAUCAGCGAUAAGUGCACAUUUACGUAUAGUCGGCUGCAGGACUUCUAUCGAGGCGCACUGAAACAUGUGUGGCAACAGGCUCCUGUUUGUCACAUUUUAAUGAGUCUUCGUUAGGCCCAAACUCAUAAAAUUCUGCAAGACGAAUAUGACUUGAAAGAGCUUUUGUUGCUUCCUGGCAACAAUAACAAGUAGAAAACAUUGCGUCUCCUGCAUUGACACACCCGCCUCCUGCUGGAUCCAUUUUACAUGAUGCCACGCAUACUUUACUUUUUAAAAUGAAAAUGAAAGCAACAUUAUUAUGAGUUUGUGGGUGUUACAAUCAGCAGGCGUGUAGAAGAGAUCCGAGUUACAUAUCAACCAUGUAACAAUGAUCACACAUUUGUUUUUGGAUGUGACGUGUUGAGUAGUCCUGUACAGCGGUUGAGUGUUUAUCUGCAGCAGGGAGGAGGAGAUGGGCGAGGCCCUUAGAAGCGCACCGUAACAUGGCGUCCUCGUCUCUUGGCCCUCAUCAGAGCAGCAGCAGCCUGCCAGACACACCGGAGCAGGAAGCCGGGAGGGGUUCCCCACCCU
Gasterosteus aculeatus aculeatus (three-spined stickleback) is the source of this 5809-nucleotide long non-coding RNA. The record is from Ensembl. NCBI's taxonomy places the organism in Eukaryota, Metazoa, Chordata, Actinopteri, Perciformes, Gasterosteidae.